This 237-nucleotide ribosomal RNA is filed under the name Triticum aestivum (bread wheat). Its description in RNAcentral is "partial small subunit ribosomal RNA". Lineage: Eukaryota; Viridiplantae; Streptophyta; Magnoliopsida; Poales; Poaceae. The record is from RNAcentral.
AUGGGGGCGGUGGUGACCGCGGUGAUCGCGAUCGCUGCGGUGGUGCUGGGCUGGAUCACCAUCGAGAUGGCCUGCAAGCCCUGCCUCGAGACCGGCCGCCGCGCCAUGGACCGUGCCCUCGACCCCAACUACGACCCCGACGACUCCCCCGCAGCCAACUCCACCGCGCCACCCACUAGGGAGCCGCUACUCGCCGACCUCUCUGCCUCCGCCGCCGCGCCAGCCAAGGCCAUCUGA